GGGUUGUGAGGUUAAGCGACUAAGCGUACACGGUGGAUGCCCUGGCAGUCAGAGGCGAUGAAGGACGUGCUAAUCUGCGAAAAGCGUCGGUAAGGUGAUAUGAACCGUUAUAGCCGGCGAUGUCCGAAUGGGGAAACCCAGUGCAAUUCGUUGCACUAUCGUUAACUGAAUACAUAGGUUAACGAGGCGAACCGGGGGAACUGAAACAUCUAAGUACCCCGAGGAAAAGAAAUCAACCGAGAUUCCCCCAGUAGCGGCGAGCGAACGGGGAGCAGCCCGGAGUCUGAAUCAGCUUGUGUGUUAGUGGAAGCGUCUGGAAAGUCGCAGGGUACAGGGUGAUACUCCCGUACACUAAAACACACAGGUUGUGAACUCGAAGAGUAGGGCGGGACACGUGGUAUCCUGUCUGAAUAUGGGGGGACCAUCCUCCAAGGCUAAAUACUCCUGACUGACCGAUAGUGAACCAGUACCGUGAGGGAAAGGCGAAAAGAACCCCGGCGAGGGGAGUGAAAAAGAACCUGAAACCGUGUACGUACAAGCAGUAGGAGCCCACUUGUUGGGUGACUGCGUACCUUUUGUAUAAUGGGUCAGCGACUUAUAUUCUGUAGCAAGGUUAACCGUAUAGGGGAGCCGCAGGGAAACCGAGUCUUAACUGGGCGUUAAGUUGCAGGGUAUAGACCCGAAACCCGGUGAUCUAGCCAUGGGCAGGUUGAAGGUUGGGUAACACUAACUGGAGGACCGAACCGACUAAUGUUGAAAAAUUAGCGGAUGACUUGUGGCUGGGGGUGAAAGGCCAAUCAAACCGGGAGAUAGCUGGUUCUCCCCGAAAGCUAUUUAGGUAGCGCCUCGUGAACUCAUCUUCGGGGGUAGAGCACUGUUUCGGCUAGGGGGUCAUCCCGACUUACCAACCCGAUGCAAACUACGAAUACCGAAGAAUGUUAUCACGGGAGACACACGGCGGGUGCUAACGUCCGUCGUGAAGAGGGAAACAACCCAGACCGCCAGCUAAGGUCCCAAAGUCAUGGUUAAGUGGGAAACGAUGUGGGAAGGCCCAGACAGCCAGGAUGUUGGCUUAGAAGCAGCCAUCAUUUAAAGAAAGCGUAAUAGCUCACUGGUCGAGUCGGCCUGCGCGGAAGAUGUAACGGGGCUAAACCAUGCACCGAAGCUGCGGCAGCGACACUAUGUGUUGUUGGGUAGGGGAGCGUUCUGUAAGCCGUUGAAGGUGGCCUGUGAGGGUUGCUGGAGGUAUCAGAAGUGCGAAUGCUGACAUAAGUAACGAUAAUGCGGGUGAAAAACCCGCACGCCGGAAGACCAAGGGUUCCUGUCCAACGUUAAUCGGGGCAGGGUGAGUCGACCCCUAAGGCGAGGCCGAAAGGCGUAGUCGAUGGGAAACAGGUUAAUAUUCCUGUACUCGGUGUUACUGCGAAGGGGGGACGGAGAAGGCUAUGUUGGCCGGGCGACGGUUGUCCCGGUUUAAGCAUGUAGGCGGAUGUUCCAGGUAAAUCCGGAACGUUACUAACGCUGAGGUGUGAUGACGAGGCACUACGGUGCUGAAGUGACAAAUGCCCUGCUUCCAGGAAAAGCCUCUAAGCAUCAGGUAACAUCAAAUCGUACCCCAAACCGACACAGGUGGUCAGGUAGAGAAUACCAAGGCGCUUGAGAGAACUCGGGUGAAGGAACUAGGCAAAAUGGUGCCGUAACUUCGGGAGAAGGCACGCUGAUGGUAGGUGAAGUGACUUGCUCAUGGAGCUGAAAUCAGUCGAAGAUACCAGCUGGCUGCAACUGUUUAUUAAAAACACAGCACUGUGCAAACACGAAAGUGGACGUAUACGGUGUGACGCCUGCCCGGUGCCGGAAGGUUAAUUGAUGGGGUUAUCCGUAAGGAGAAGCUCUUGAUCGAAGCCCCGGUAAACGGCGGCCGUAACUAUAACGGUCCUAAGGUAGCGAAAUUCCUUGUCGGGUAAGUUCCGACCUGCACGAAUGGCGUAAUGAUGGCCAGGCUGUCUCCACCCGAGACUCAGUGAAAUUGAACUCGCUGUGAAGAUGCAGUGUACCCGCGGCAAGACGGAAAGACCCCGUGAACCUUUACUAUAGCUUGACACUGAACACUGGUCCUUGAUGUGUAGGAUAGGUGGGAGGCUUUGAAGUGUGGACGCCAGUCUGCAUGGAGCCAUCCUUGAAAUACCACCCUUUAAUGGCUGGUGUUCUAACGUGGGCCCGUAAUCCGGGUUGCGGACAGUGUCUGGUGGGUAGUUUGACUGGGGCGGUCUCCUCCUAAAGAGUAACGGAGGAGCACGAAGGUCAGCUAAUCCUGGUCGGACAUCAGGAGGUUAGUGCAAUGGCAUAAGCUGGCUUGACUGCGAGCGUGACGGCGCGAGCAGGUGCGAAAGCAGGUCAUAGUGAUCCGGUGGUUCUGAAUGGAAGGGCCAUCGCUCAACGGAUAAAAGGUACUCCGGGGAUAACAGGCUGAUACCGCCCAAGAGUUCAUAUCGACGGCGGUGUUUGGCACCUCGAUGUCGGCUCAUCACAUCCUGGGGCUGAAGUAGGUCCCAAGGGUAUGGCUGUUCGCCAUUUAAAGUGGUACGCGAGCUGGGUUUAGAACGUCGUGAGACAGUUCGGUCCCUAUCUGCCGUGGGCGCUGGAGAAUUGAGGGGGGCUGCUCCUAGUACGAGAGGACCGGAGUGGACGCAUCACUGGUGUUCGGGUUGUCAUGCCAAUGGCAUUGCCCGGUAGCUAAAUGCGGAAGAGAUAAGUGCUGAAAGCAUCUAAGCACGAAACUUGCCCCGAGAUGAGUUCUCCCUGACUCCCUGAGAGUCCUGAAGGAACGUUGAAGACGACGACGUUGAUAGGCCGGGUGUGUAAGCGCAGCGAUGCGUUGAGCUAACCGGUACUAAUGAACCGUGAGGCUUAACCUUACAACGCCGAAG
RNAcentral lists this ribosomal RNA (2927 nucleotides) under Klebsiella michiganensis. RNAcentral's name for it is "23S ribosomal RNA". It matches the Rfam family "Bacterial large subunit ribosomal RNA". Lineage: Bacteria; Pseudomonadati; Pseudomonadota; Gammaproteobacteria; Enterobacterales; Enterobacteriaceae. The record is from RNAcentral.